GGAUCGUGUUUUAAGUAUUACUCCUAUAUAUGUAUGCAUGCUUUCAUAAAGUGGCAUAUAGUUAAUGUUUCUACAAGAUAUAAAGUAAGACUUUUGCUUUCUGUAAAUAUAUGUAAGACCAAAAUGUAUUUACGAUUACUAAAGUGUUGAGUACUACGCAUCAUAUGAGAUUUUUUUUUUUUUUUUUCUGUACGUACAGAAUUAACGUUGCCUUCAUGGUUGUAUCCAUAAUUCAUAUAUCAGAAAAUGAAAAUGCAUGGAUGUGUAGAAACGAAAGGAAUUGCUACUUUUUUUGCCUGGUAUUGUGUUUCUCUCGACAAAAUGUAUUAAAGAAACAUUGUUUGUAAUUGUACAUCAAUUAAAUAGAGAGAUCUAGUAUUUGUUUAUUUUUGCUUCUUUCCAUUAGAUUUACACGUAACACAAUGUGAGACAAAACAAAAUAAUUGAGAAUCCUAAGACCAUGAUUAAUGGUUAGUACUCUUUGUGGGUUGCUUGCCAUUUUAAUAUUACAAUUUGAAAAUUUUAAGGUUAAGCAACGUUGCCUCAGUUGCUGUUAGAAGCAACGUUUCUCAUUAAAGUGGACAUUUUUUAUUAUUUUUGAUUAAAUUUCUGGUCCACUUUUUUUAGGCAACCCAUUUAUUUUCCCCAGUGGACUUGCUCUAAGAGACGGAUGUUGGAAGGUCCACUCGACCAAAUAAACGAUAAAAAACUGUGGUUAAUACUAAUUUAUCACUACAAAAAAAAUGAGUGUAUUGAAUCAUUUAUUUUGUAACUUUACAUUACUUAUAAGUGAUACAAUGAAAUUUUACAUCAUUUAUAAGAGUGAUACUUAUAUUGCCGAUGCAAAUAAAUCACAUCGGUUUUUAAUCAACUGAUGCAAAAGAAAAAAAAUUGUAUCAGUUCUUAUAACUGAUAUUAAUAAUGAGUCAAUUUUCAAAAAUGAUACUAUAUUUCCUAUCAGUUUGUAAAAGUGAUGUUAUUAUUUGUGUCGGUUAUCAUAAUCGAUGUCAAUUAUAUAUAUAUAUCAAUUUCAAACAAACUAAUAUAAUUAAUUUAAAAAAUAUAAUAAUUAAUUACGAAAUAAUAUACUUAAUUACGAAAUAAUUAUUAUUAAAUUAAAAUAUUAAUUAUUUUAAUACAUUUACUAAUUAUUUUUUCGUUUGUUAUUUUUCCUAAUAUAUAGCAAAAUUAUGGUGGAUAUUUUCUCUCAAAAUCUUGUUGCAAUAUAUCUACUAAAAAUCUAAUCAAAUAUAUCACAUGAACAAUCAAAUCUUUAUUAAAAAAAUAUAUUACAAUUGGGUUUUGGUUUCNNNNNNNNNNNNNNNNNNNNNNNNNNNNNNNNNNNNNNNNNNNNNNNNNNNNNNNNNNNNNNNNNNNNNNNNNNNNNNNNNNNNNNNNNNNNNNNNNNNNCUUUGCUCCAUGCUUCUUCCUUUGUUAAUUGUUCUUUCUUCUUCAGUUCUUCCUCUAAAAAAACUUCAAAUCUUCUUCCUCUUUAAAAACUCUUGCUUUGAAGUAUCUUUAUCCUUCUUCACCGCAAGAAUUUCUUAAGUAUGAAAACCAAUAAACACACAAUGAGAAAAAGAAGAAGAAGAAAGGGUUUAGAAGAUGAACUUAUCGAAAUGAUUUUCUAGAAAUGUAAACUUAUAUAUAACUUGAUUCACCUGGAGUUGUAUGGUUGGAAAAUAAAAUUUCUUUGAAAAUUUUCAGAGAAGAGUUUUUGUCGUAUGAUGAUUUUCAUAUUUUUUGUUUGUGUUUUGUGAAAUGGAAAGAAAAGUUUUAGAAAAUAUUUAUACAUAAAAGGAGUUAUCUGAUAUUUAGAGAUCGUGGGUUAGUUGGUGAUAUUUUGAUUUUUUAUUUUAUUUUUAAUAAAACAGUUUAUCAAACAUAGUUGAAAAAAAUAAUAAAUAAAAGAUGAGGACUUUAGAGAAAAAGUAAAAAUCAAUUUUUGACAUAUAAAAUAUAGAACACAAUCGUAAAUUAAAAUAUUAUGAAAACAAAAAAAUAUUUAAAGUAAUAUUUUAAAUAAAAUUAUAUCAUCUUAAUUUAUGAAUUUUUUUCUAAUUACCCCGUUUUCUAAAAAUAUAUAUAAUUUAUUGAUGCCAUCACAUUUUUAUGAUGUUAAUUUUGUAUCAUUUAAAAAAUCGAUUUUAUCAAAAAAAAAUACAUACAUCAAUUAUCUAAAUGAUGUAAUUAUGUAUUUUACAUCAAUUUCUUUUAAAGUGAUACAAUCUAGUAGAAAUUGAAUCAGUUUUAAAUAAUUGAUGAAAAUUAGUUAAUAUUAGCAUCAGUAAUGUAAUUGAUGUUAAAUUAUUUAUAUUUGCUUCACUUAUUAAAAAGUAAUUUAAAAUAAAAUCACUUAAAUUUGUGAUACAAUUUAAGUGAUACAAUAUAGUCAUUUUUUUUGUAGUGUAUUACGAGGGUCUAAUUUAUAAAUAACAAAGUAUUAAAAAGCUAGUUGGUUUAGGUGAAAGUAAGACUAUGACAUUUGUCUUAUUCACUAAAGAAACGAUACUUUAGCCUCUAAACCCGCUCAACAGCAAGUACAUAUUGUGCAACCAGACUCACAAUUAGUAUGAGAUGAUAAACUUAAUUCUAUAGUAAAUAUAGUUCUUACUUAUUUGUUAGUACUUUGAAUAAAGUGGUACACGAACAAUAAUUUUUUUUCCCUAAGGUUAUGUAUAUGUAAUACGUAUGAUUAAGAUAAUAGGAGUAAUAUAUCUUUUGUAUUGGGAUGUACAUAUCUUUUUCUAUUGCAUGGGAUAUGCAUAUCUUAUCUCAUACUUGUAUAGAAAUGUGCACACGAGUUUUAUUUUGCAACUAAAUUUGACUGUGAUGUUAUAUCGCCGUAUAACUAUGAUUUGCAUAAGUUAACGACUCAGAAAUAGUCUAUAUGUAAUAAAUAAUAAGCAAUCUUAAUUAUACUCUUCGAGUUGGUAAAUUGGUGCCUUGUUUUCUGCCGCUUGUCUCCAACUCUAUCCAACCACUUGGUCUUGGUUGAGAUAAUGAUACAUCAAAAAUUUUACGUUUUUAAAAAUAUACAUUUUCGUUUGUUAAAUCUAGAGUCUAUGCAUGUGAUUAGAGAGCUGAUUUGGGUCAAACGUACAGUAGAGUUUUGAUAUGUUCAUUGCGUUGCGAAUUUUAAGGUCAUUUAAACGAAAUCACAAAAUCACAAAAACCUCUGUCAACAACCUCACUGUUUCAAACGAAAUCACAAAAAAAGGAAUCCGAGAAGAUAUAACUUGCUUACAUGUUUUCAAGCAUUUAUCCGAGUAAACCGAAGAGUCACUAUAUGAUUGUAUCCAUAACAAGGUUUACAAAAAAAAAAAAAAAAAAAAGAUUGUAUCCAUAACAAGAAAAUUAGUAGUAGACUUGGGGAAAAAAUUAGACAAUAACUUUGACUCGAAUAACUUAAAGUUGCACACCUACCUCAAAAAUUAUAUAGGUCAAUCUCAAAGAUAUGAGAUCACUAUCGAGACGGAAAAUAUAUAUAUAUGAGACGACGACCAUGUGCAAUGCAUUUGGAUUUCUCUUUUGCUUACCUAUCAAUUUAAAAGUUUUCUUUAGACUUUAGUGAUAUUUGUUACUGUGAUAUCUCGGUUACUACAGUUUUAUGCAUUUAUAUUCAAUACUACCAUUUAUGUAAAUGUAUUGUUGUGUGUUAAUUCAAAUGAGACGUCCGAUGAUUCAUUCAUGUGUAAGCAAUCCCCUCAAAGAACACAAUUGUGUUAUCAACUUAUCAUCAUUAAUUAUAUAAAUUAAUAUUUUUUAUUUGUUUAAAAGGGCAAAUAAGCAUCAAAGCUGGAAUAGCUCAGUUGGUUAGAGCGUGUGGCUGUUAACCACAAGGUCGGAGGUUCGACCCCUCCUUCUAGCGAUUUUUUAUUCUUUUAUAGGCCAAUGUGCAAUCAACUUUUUUAUAAAAAUGUCAAACUUCAUUCUCAAUCUUAAACUUCGUUACAAGUGUCUUGAGUUGCAUAUCAAAAGCACAAAAAGAUAAAAGUGUGCAAAACACACAUUUUAUUAUACAAUCUGCAAAGCAUUAUUAUUACUCUUCCUUACACACAUAAACAUCAUUUUACCACUUCGACAACAAACAAAACCAAAACACACAAACUAUGUAUACUCUUCUCUAUAUGAUCAAAUAUCUUACAUCAUAUUCUAAAAUGUCUACCACCAACGCUUUUAUUCAUAUCUUACAUCUUUCUCUGAAGAGUAAUCAAAUCAAGAGUGGAUCCAUAUUUCACAUUCAAAGCCUGUGCACACCAACCGUGUCCAUCAUCAACUGUAGGCAUCCUCACUUCAAUCACAGGAACCACUGGACUCGAUGAUCCCGGCAUCAACACAGCUGCGAAAACCCGCAAAGCAUUUGACGCAUCGAUGUCCAUGCAAACAUUGAUCGCUGGAACACCUUUAGGUGCCGGUGGAAUCCCAACGAUCUUGAAAUACCCAAGAAGAUGGUUCUCUUCGACGGUCUCUCCUUCUCCUUCGUAUAUGAUGAUCAGAGCUUCCUUCUGGUUAUCCUGGACCGUCGUGAAGAAGAGGUCUUUCCUAGCUGGAACCAUAGUGUUACGCGGAAUCACAGGUAUGAAUCUGUUUCCGUUUGCUCUUAUUCCAACUGCAAGAGGUGUUGCUUGUAUGGUCAAGAGAUCUAAGCUCCCAAACGGAUCAUGAAUUCCUGAAGUCACCGCACCUUCUAAAGCAGCUCCUCUAACAGCAGCUUCUAACGGAUUCACGCCUUUGUAAAUCUCGUCUUUCUUGCAUACAUUCUUGAGAAUGUUUCUCACUUUUGGGAUGUAAGAACAGCCUCCAACCAUUAUCACAUCGUCAAUAUCACCAACCUCGACUUUUGCAUCUCGCAGGCACUGCACAACAAGUCUCUCACACUCUUCAAAUACCUUCUGGUUCACAUCCUCAAACUCCACUCUAUCAAGAACCUUGGAAAUCUUGUUACCAUUUCCCAAAUCGACUUCAAUCUGGACAUUGUCUUGAUCAGAUAGCCUGUGAAUAGCGUCCUGUGUCGCUACACGGAGCAACCCCGAAGCUUCUGCUCCUGGUGGCGCGAUAUGGCGCAUUGUGUUCUGCAGAAUAUCUUCUCCUCCAGUGGGGCUUCCUGCCAAGGCUUUUAUCUGUGAAACACCACCAGCAGUUGCAGUAACCGCAACAUCGCAGUAACCAGCACCUAGAUUGAAUAUAAGCGCAAGCCUCUCGCUUCCGCUCCCCAUGUUAUCGUGCGUAGUCAUCUGCUGCUGUUGAGCAUACAGCAAGGCGACUGCAGUUGGUUCUGGCAUCAAACGAAGAACAUGAAGUCCGGCCAUAGCGCAAGCUCGCUCAAUCCGUGUAAGCUGGAACCUAGAGAACGAAACCGGAACCGUGAGCACUACAUUCCUCACAGGCCGUUUCAACUGAGCUUCAGCCAUCAGACGUAAUUCCACAAGAAAUAUCGCUAAAACUUCCUCUGGAGUAGUGGAUCUCCAAGCAUUGUUCACCAAAGCCGCAAUAAACGGUCUGACACCAAUGUCAAGAGUUUGAACCAAGAAAGGAAGGUUCUUGCUGGCGUGAACCACAGGAUCAGUGUCUACACGACCGAUGAGGCGCUUCAUGUUGAAUACAGCGGCUCCGGUUAACAUUUCCUGCUCGUGUGCGAGCUGGUUGCUAACUCCACCAGCAGGUACUUCGUCUUUGAAAGUGACGAAUGACUUGAUAAGUUUCUGGUUUCUUGUGUUCCUCAAGAUGUGAACUUGAGAACCGUUCCAAACAGCUAUACUGCACUGGGAAGUACCAAUAUCGAUGCCAACAGCGAUUUCGGGUAAUGAAGGAGACGAUGAUGAUUUCUCCUCUCCAGUGUUUUCACUGUCUGAUGCUACUGUGUAUGCUUGUUCUGCCAUUUCCUGCCAAAAAAAAAAAUCAGAGUCAAGACUCAAAGUCUAACAUAGACAAUACUAUAUUUGACAUUUCAUCAAACACAAUCAAAGAUUUGUCCUUGUGAACUAAUGAUUAGUGGUUUAUUUAUUUCCUUCCAUUUCAUCACUUAACAAUUAACAUUCAAACACGAACCAAAGUACUAAUUCUAACACAAACUAAAACUAAUUGUCAAGUGUUAGUAGUGGGAUUAACUCUACUACGAUUCCGAAAUUAAGAAACAAACUUGAAUCAAACAAAAAGCUAAACACAAUUAAUCGUAAUUUCCAUAACUAUAAGCACAUCAUAAAACGUAAUGAAAAAAAAAAAACCGUAAGAACAAAGAAAGUGUUAAUGCAAAAAGAGGACUCGGAAACAACAAACCUGAGCAAAGGAGAGAACUUUCACAAAAAGGGUUUGUUUGUAGCUGUUGUGGGAUUUAGAAGAAAUAGGAUUCGUGGGUCGAGAAAAGAAAAGACAAGGGAGUGACAAGAGAGGUGGGAGAGUUUAGAAGGUGCGAGAGAGUAAUAUGUGAUUGCUCGUCUUCUAGAGUCUGCUAGAGAAACCUCGGUGCUUUUUAGAAAACAGAGGAGGGAGUGAUGAUUCUUUUGCCGACCCAACCAAAAAUAUAAAACUAAAACAGUAUAAAUCUACUCUUGUUUUAAAAAAGAAAAAACAAAUGGGCCUAUUUCUAAUAAACUAAGUGGGUCGAUUUAAGAGGACGUAGAUGGGUCUGUAUCAGAUAUCAGCCCAACUAUGGAUCGUAGAUUAUGAUAAUUGUUUCAAUUAGUUUUGUUAAUGAAAUUAGUAAAUCAACCAAUAGUGUGUAUCAGAUAUCAGGCUUAUCAGAGGCCAAUAUCUAUCUUAACAUUUUUAAAUUACACUUUGUACUAAAAUCAAUUUAGGAUUAUAACCUUUUAGUUUGCAAUAUUUACAUAAUCAAACCCUUGCCAUUUAAACAAAUAACAAAACUUAAAAUAAAUUUUGUAAUUAAAUCACAACCAAAUCGCAAAAUUGGAAACAAAUAUUUAUUACAUCAAAAAAUUUCCUAAAAUCUCUCUAUAAUAAAUCGAAUCUCUCUCUAAUAUAUUUAUAUAAUCUUAUUUGUUUUUAACUUAUAUUAUUACAUAAAAAAAUAUUUAUAAUAAAAAUAUAAAUUUUCUUCCACACAAUUUACAAUUUAAAUUUUUGAAAAUGAAUGUAUAGAAGUCAAUCGAUAAAGGAAAAAAUAUAUGUACAACGUCUACAUAAGGUAGAAAAAUUUAGAUAAUAGUUCAAAACCAUUACAAAUAUGACUAAUAUGCUUCCAACUACAAACUCCAAAUUAAAAAUUAUCCAGUUUCAUUCGGUUCUUUAUUUAUGAAAAAAUAAAUCUUUUAAAAUAAUACUUUAAAAAAGUUACAAAAUAUUAUAAAUUUUAUUUUUUAAAAAAUUUUAAAAGCUUCAAAUAUUAUAAUAUUGAAUUAAGCUUUAUAUAAUAUAAUAAUUGAAAUAUUAAAAAUAUAAAAAAACUCUACAAAAAAGUUAAAGUAUUAUUAAUAUUUUAACUCUAAAAAAUAAUAAUAAUAUUGUACAUAAAUAUGAUUGAACGACUUUGAGUUUACAUAAAUAUGAUUAUGUUUUUCAGACGGGUUUGUCUAUAUUUAAAAUCUUUACGGGUUAUGGUAAAAUAUAUAUUUUUUUAUUUAUAACAAAUUUGUCUUGCGGUGUACCCUAGGUUCACUACAUAUAUAUAUGAAUCUACUUAUAAUAAAAAUUUAUAAAAUUUUAUAAAAUUAUAAUGAUAUGAACACGUAUAAACUAGACUAUAUAAACCAACUACGAAAAUAACAAAUUAAACAAAUAUAUUAAAUUAUGGACCCGUGGUGUAACACGGGGUAAAUCCUAGUUGUUGAACAAAAAAAAAAACAAUAGUGUGUGACUGUGUUCAAUAACUACUUAAUUAGAUGGUUACAUCUAGUGGGCAAUGGAGAAGAAGUGUUACGUCAAAAUCAUGUUUUGUUGUUGUUGUUGUAACAGUUAGAUAAAUACAAAUUAUUGAAAACAAAAUACACUACAUUUGGUAACAAUAAGCCACUUUCCUAAAUUUUUGAAUUUUUUUUUUAUCUGCAAAAAAUUGGCAUCUACUUAACUCAUCAUAUAAAUUAAAAUCGACAUAUGAAUUUUUUGUACUUGCAAGAAACGUAUAAAAAAUAUAAUGAUUUGGAAUAUAUAUAUAUAUAUAUGUCAUUCUUCUCUGGCUUCAAUCGUUUGUUUUAAAUAAUUGUAUGAUAAUUAAUCAGAUGAAUAAUAGGAACAUAAAAAAAAAAAAAAAUUAGAAUCAUGCAUUGUUGGAAUCUUUCACAAUCGAUGAUGAAAUAAUAUUUUAAAUUAUAUGUCCAAUAACCAAUAACGCAACAAAUUGGUGACAUCUCUUUGAUGAGGAAAGUGGUGAUGUUAGGGAUAGGUCCACACAGACAGCAACUACAUUGCAAUUAUUAUUAUAAAUACAGAUUUCUACUAGCUAGUGUUUAUAAAUCAAACAUUAUAUCACCAGUAAAUAAUGUCAUAUUUCGUAUGAAAAUUCAAUUCAGUAGAUUCAUCAUGCAUGGCUUAAUUUGUGUGUGUGUGUGUGUCUGGCCUUUAUGUGUUUCUAAUACCUACCGAUCGACACAUCACACAUGAUAUUCUACGUUUGUAAUAAUCUCCAACCAUUUUGGUGUUAAUUAGCAUGUGCAACACGUACAACGAAUUCGAAAAUUUAUGUAAUUCUAGCUAAAUCAACGCGUCGGCCCCGCGCCAAGAUAUCUCUUUACUUUUUAUGUCUGAAAAUUAAUAAAAACACGUGUUUUUGGUGUGCAGAAACUUGGGCUAAAUGGCAUCUAAUUUGAAGACAAUGGGCCGAUGCUGUUAAGGAACCGGUAGAAAAAAGCUAUAAAACAUAAUGAUGAUUGUACAUUUUCGGAUAUGAAACUUCAUCCGACAUUGAGAGUAAUUACAAAGGUACUAACUAUAGGUGUGUAACGCGUAUAGCCUAACGUUUAUAUUGUGCUCACACUGUAACAAUGAAAUCUUAUGUACAAUAGUAAAAGUUAACUGAACACCAUUUACAAAGACUUUGUUUAUAAAACAUUUUAACAAAGACUUAAACGCGUAUGGUUCGGAAACUCUUUGGAAUUUAAUAAGUGUUUUUUUUGGUAGAUUGUUUAAUUAAUCAAUAAGAUAGAAAGCGAUCAUUGCAACACAAAUCAGGAUAGAAUCAUAUGAUUCGAUUAAACAUAUCAAAUAUAAUAUAGUGUAAGAAAUUGUAUAACAAGAUAAAAUAGAAGAAGAAAAGGAUUUGAACCAUGAGUCAGCAGUCAGUAUCCAUAUGAUUUAAAUUAAACAAAAAAACAAAUAGAGAAAAAAAAAAAAAAAAGACUUUGGAGUUCCUAUAAAUACUAGUAGUAUUAAACAUCUCCAUUUCCUUCACGCCUCUUUGUUGUUGUUUGUUUGAUAUUUUCUUCCAAUUUCUCAAUUAUUCCAAAUGUUAUUUUCUUUUACGUCUUUACUCUCUUGCAAUGGAUUUCUCUCCCAUCAACUGCCUCAUUUUCGGUAUUAGCUAAUACCCUUUUUUUAAUAAGUAGUAAUAUCAACAUUUUGUAAACUGUAUUUUGAUAAAGUUUGUUCUCUAAUUUGUUUUUUUUUUUUUUGUGGUAAUUUGGUUUCUAAUUGUGUGAUCAUUAGAUUUGGAUGACACAUUAUACCCUCUGAAAACUGGAUUAGCGCCAGCGGUCAAAAAAAACAUCGACGGUAACUAAACUAUAACAAUUUAAUUAGAACCCAAUGAUUUGUUCUUAUAAAACAUAUAUUUAGUUAAUUAAAUUGAUAAUAUGGGGAGGGGCAGAUUUUCUAGUGGAGAAAUUUGGAUUCCCAGAAAGUAAAGCUUCAAGUUUAAGAGUUGAGCUCUUCAAGACUUAUGGGAGUACUCUUGCUGGUCUCAGGGUAAUUAAUCUCUUUUCUCCAUUUUUAUGUUUUCUCUAAACUAUUACUUCAUUAUACAUCUUCUAAUUUAUUUAAUUCUUUAUAUUCUUACUAAUGAUGUAGGCGUUAGGCCACGAUGUUCAUCCUGAUGAAUACCACAGGUAAUAUAACUAGUCAUCAUCAUCAUCAAUUCAUCAUCAUCAUCUUAAACAACUACUACUAUGAAAUAUUUUGAUCUCAGCGAAACAUUUGUUUAAUUUCGUGCAAAAUAUGUUUUGUAGUUUCGUACACGGAAGAUUACCGUAUGGCUCGAUCGAACCAAACAACAAGCUACGUAACCUUCUUAACAAAAUCAAACAGAGGAAAAUUGUAAGUUUAAUUUAAUUAAAAUCUUUAGUUAUGUAUCAUGAAUUUUUAUUAAAUAUUGUUUUGCCAAAAUGAAUAAAAUCAAUGUUCAUUCUUUGUUUUUUAUAUAUAUUAAUGUUCUUGGUUGUAGAUAUUUACCAAUUCCGACAGGAACCAUGCGGUGACGGUGUUAAAGAAACUGGGGUUAGAAGAUUGCUUCGAAGAGAUGAUCUGCUUCGAGACGAUGAAUCCGAAUUUAUUCGGAUCAACGACAACAACACGACCCGAUGAGCAUCCUGUCGUUCUCAAACCAUCCUUGGCCGCUAUGGACAUUUGCAUCCGUGUAGCUAACGUUGACCCUCGCCGAACGGUAAUAAUUUAUUCUUAUGUAAGACUUUGCUAAAAAAGCCAUAGAUAGCUUUACACGUAUCAUUUGUUUAAUCUGUUUUUAUCUUAUAUAUUAACAUAGGUGUUUUUGGAUGAUAAUAUCCACAAUAUUACCGCCGGUAAAUCUGUCGGCCUUCGCACAAUCUUGGUAACUUUUUUUUUUUUUUUAAUUUUUAUUCCGUUUACAUUUUACUAAUGACAUUUUGUAUGUGAGAAUGCAAUUUUAUAAAAUUUGGUUUUUUUUUAAGGUGGGGAGAGCAGAAAAGACUAACGAAGCUGACUAUGCGGUAGAGACGGUGACUGAGAUAGCUACGGAGGUGCCGGAGAUAUGGACGACGGCAACGGCUACGGGAGGUGAGAGAAUCAGACGGAGCAAGAGUGAGCUGGAGGGUAUGGUAUCAAUCACAGCCGUCGGUGCGUGACGUGAUGGAGUGAGAGAAUGAUGUGGCCGUUGGAUCCUUUUUAACGUUUAGUAGUUUGGGUUUGUACAGAUUGGAGCGUUAAAAAGAUGUUUGUUGAUAAUGCGCAUUGUGAAUAGAAUAAUAAUAAUUGUGGUGGUGGAGAAUAUCCAUCCCAUGUGGACACCAAUUGUGAAUAAAUCAAUCAAAAUAUUAUCUCAUGUAUGAUGACAAUGAUUUCAAUAUGUUUACAUUUUUAAGUCCUUUUUAUAUGGUAUCAUUUUAUUCUAUAUGCUUUAAAAUUUACAAAGUAAAACAUAAGAAGUUUUUUUGUGUGUUACAAAAACAUUAUAUUAUUAUUAUAAAUACAAGUUUUGUCCAUUCUAAUUUUUAUUAAAUAAUAAUUCAUAUUGUUAUUUUCUAAAACAUAGCACAGCAUUUUUAUUUGGUUAAUAUCCAACAUUGUCCGCAUCACCAUACCAAACACAAUGUUGGGUUGAAAUGCUAUAUGAUUUGUUUCAUGAAGGUGAAGAGAAACUCUAAGGAUAAAAGAAUGCUCAUAAAUUGUUUUCUUGAUUACUUUCUAAGUUUUUAGUUAUAUUUAUAUAAGAUAAUGUAAUUAAAAAUUAGUUAACAUAUAUUGGGAUUUGCAAAAAUAUCAUUUUUCUAAUCAUUUUACAAAAAUAUCAUUUCUUGUUGUCCAUUUUCAAUAAUACAUUUCUUAUACAAAAUGAGUAAAUUCUAAACCCAAACCUCUAAAUACUAAACUCUAUUUUUAAAAGUAUAUCUUAAAUGUAAAAUAUAGAAUUCAAACCUAAAAACAAAUUCUAAAAAUUAAUUUAGCAUAUGGUAAUUAUGUAAAAGAGGGUAAAAAUAAAAAUGACAAUUGCAAAAUGUAUCAAGAUAAAAGGCAUUAGUCAAAAAAAUUCAAUAUAUAAUAAAAUUAUUUCAUGAUUACAGUGCGAUAUGCCAUUUAAAAUAACUUUUAAAAGCAUGCGAAAUACCUUUUAAAAUACAAAUAUUAUCAACAAAACUUUUUCUUAUUUCACUUAUUUACAUGGUUCAUAUUAUCAACAAAAAUUAAUAUUAUUGUUUUUAUUAGGUAACGUUGUUCUUAACCGAUUUUGAAGCUCACACAUUCUAACUUCUAAUUCAAGUUAACUGCUUUAUUCUAUUAUAAUAAAUUAAAUUUCCAUUUUAUGCACUAUAUCUUAACAGAUUAGAAUUACAAUUUUCAUAUUAACAUGUAAACCAUAUCAUAUAUAUAUAUAUAUAUAUAUAUAUAUAUAUAUUUGUCCAAAAAACCCAUCUCAUAUAUUAUUUAGUAGUUUAAAAAAAAAUUAACGUCGUUUUUAAAAAUGACCUAUGUUUAGGCCCAUUUAAGGAACACGACGCAAAUUUGAAAAUAUCGUUUCUUUGUAUAAUUGAAGAGCCACCAUGAAUGAAAUGACAUCGACGGAGGAGGCUGCACCGGAAAUGGUUACAGCCACGGAAACGGAAACCGAAUUGAUAGAGAAGUCGAGUGAAGUGUAUGAUGAAGAAGAGGACGAGAAAAUACACUCUCAGUCUCAGAAGAAGCCUGUAGUAGCAGUUCUUGAAGCCAAAUCUCUUCCCGACAUCAUCAGUGCUUACCUCAAGUAUCUUUACUUAGUUCCAUCUUAAGACUUCAAUCUUUUUUUUUCUGAAGCUCUUGUUAGUAAUAAUCAUGUUGUUACUGGUGUGUUUUUUUUUACGGUGGUCAAAGUAAUUAAAGUUCGUUUUGUAAGGCCAUUGACUCAUUUUGCACGAGUUGACUUUUCUCUAAAUGCUUUGGAAAUUUUUCACAGUUAUCCCGACGCUGCAGAAGAGGAUCUGAAAAAAUGGGAAACAUCAUAUCAGAAGCUGUCUACUGCACACAAGGUACUCUUUGCUCUGUGAUAGAUAGUUGUAAAGAGAUCACCAAAUGAUUUCAUUUUCAUGUUAAGUUUUUUUUUUUUUUCCUUGUGCAGGCAUUGUUACCUCAUUACCCUAAGAAGUUUCAGAGUUUAAGAAGGUGUAACUCCAUUAUCAGUUAAUAUUUCACUAUCAUCUUGUAGAGUUAGAUAAAGCAUCAUCACAGGCUCGCUUGUGCUUGUCACAGAUAUCUUAAGUCUUGUUUGAAAUAUUAGCAAGUUGUUGGACUUUUUUCUUGCAGGUGCGUAUCGAUGAAUUCACAUUUCAUAACUAAUAUGCUUCAGGUUAGUUACUGACAUUUCUACUUCAGGUUAGUUAACCCAUGUUAUGUAAUGAUGUAUAAUUUAUAAUUUACUUGGCAGGCUUUUGAGCCUCCUCUAGACUUAAGCAAAUACAUGAGUCAGCGGAAAACAAGAGUAUUGUCUAUAGAGGUCAGAUCAAGACAUGGAACGUUUUAUUCUUUAUUUCGUUUACGAAAUUUAAUGUCUUUUUAUCAACGCAGGAGCUUCAAAGGAUGGAAGGUUAUGAUCAUUCUCUCAAGAAUUACUCUGCAGACACAAGAAUCAAUAAUAAGACAUGUGAAUUUUAUGGAGGCCAGUUCAGUGUAAUUAAUGCCAACUCAUAUAUAUAUGCUUUUAUACAGGAAACGUUUUAUAUAGUGCUUAGAAUUAUAUAAGACUUUUGGUGGAUCAUAUGAAAAUUUUAGUAGUAUCGUAGAUCGUGAAAGCGUUCUACUGUGAAGCAUAGGUUUGCGGUGUAUAUUUCUAAUUAUAAAUUUAUAAUUUUCCUCUUUCCUUUCUUAGGUGUCAUUAUCAUCUCAUGAUUUUCUGGAUUCGUCGUUACAGACACAUGUGCCUCUUGUUGAUGUAGAUAAGGUAUGCUUUUUCACUUUAAUAUGGCUAAUGAAUGAUGAUGAUAUUCAUUUCUUCAUCCUAGGUAGCCAUAAUCUAGUAGAGGUUUAGUAGUGUGAGACAAAAGAUAGUAAGGCGACCUGUUAGAAUCUAUUUCUUACUCUUUGAUGGUUCCAUUAGGCAGUUUGGAAAUUUAUGGAGGUCGAUUUCCUCGUAAAUAGAAUCUUCUUGUAUCUAUGCAUAUGAACAUGAUAGAGGUGACACAGCAUGGCAAUACAACUUUUUAUGUAUAUGUUUGUUGUAUGUACUGAUCACAUAUCUACUACUUACGAAAUGUGAAUGGUUUUGUUGUAUUCUGACACAGGUUCGUUGGGUGAUGAGAAAUAUAGUUCGAGACUGGGGAGCAGAGGUAACCAUAUAUUUGUUUGUCAUUUUCUUCUGACAAUGAUGUUGUACUCACUCUCUUUCUUGAAAUUAAUAUCACAACUUUAGCUGUUAGUGUAUAUUCUCUGUAUUUACAGGGUCAGACCACACGAGAUGAAUGCUACAAGCCUAUCCUUGAAGAGCUUGAUUCCUUGUUUCCUGAUCGUCAGAAAGAGAGGUACACCGCGUUACUGUUAAUUGUUCCUGACUUUUGAGUCUGCUCUGACCUCUCUCAUCAUGGAAAAAGUACAAUUUUUAGAAAUGUAGAAACUUUUGACUAAAGAGAGACAGACUAAUAGGAAAAUGGUAUUUGUUUUGGCUAUUGAGAUUAACAAGCAUGAUUAAGCCUUUUAGUACCUGCUAGAUUCACUCUGCUUACAAAGUAUAUAUAUAUGAUUUGUGAUUUGCAGCACUCCUCCUGCCUGUUUAGUCCCUGGUGCUGGACUUGGACGUCUUGCCCUUGAAAUUUCCCGUCUAGGCAUGCAGUAAAGAAUCAAAAGUUUUAUUCUUUUAAUCUUGUAGCUUUGAUGACAAUGAGGAAUAACAAGUCUUGUACAUUGGAACAGGUUUCAGAAGCGUAGGAAAUGAGAUUUCAUAUUACAUGAUGAUAUGCUCAAAUUUUAUUCUUAAUUAGUAAGAGUUUCUUGCUUUCUUGAAUAUUUUUUCUUAACCAAGGUUUUAGUUCUUGAUUUAGUGUCUUCUGUGAGUUAGUUUCUUCAUUACGGUCCUGUUUUUUUUGAGUAUUGCUCUGCUUGUUGUUUGUUUUCUCAUCAGUACACAAGUGCUUGAUGAGUGGACAGUCUACCCCUGGAUAUACACCAACUGCAAUUCUCUCUCGGAAAAUGAUCAACUACGUCCUGUUUCUAUUCCUGAUAUUCACCCUGCAAGGUAUGUCUUAUCGAACCGCAGAGAGAACUGGCCAAUGGUAUGAAAAGAAUUUAUCUUUUUUAAUCUUUCUGUAAAACAUUAGAGAACUCAAUCAAAAGAGUUUAUGUUAACUCAAACAUAAGAGAACUCAAUAUGUAUUGGUAAGUGUUUAUUAUCUAACUUUACUGAAGGAGUUUAUGUAAACUUAUUAUGUGAGCAGUGCAGGAGUAACAGAAGGUUUCUCUAUAUGUUGUGGUGAUUUUCUUGAAGUAUUAUUCAAUGAAUCAAGUCAUGCAGGUAUCGAAACAGUGACUAGUUUGAUUUUUGAUUAAGCCAAUAUGGGAUCCACCAAUAUGCUAUAUUGUUCAUUCCAAACGCCACCCACACUUGUAAUGUAACCAGUAUCACUGAAUUUUCAGGGAUGUGGGAUGCAGUUGUGACUUGUUUUUUCAUCGAUACGACUCGUAAUAUCAUCGAGUACAUCGAAACGAUAUCCAAAGUCGUAAAAGAUGGAGGAGUAAUUUCUUCUUUACCCCUUUUUUCCAAGGCAUUUGAUCUUUCAUUGCUCCUGACUGUCUAUAUUGAAAUUUCCAUCAGGUUUGGAUCAAUUUAGGACCUCUGUGUUAUCACUUUGCGGACAUACCUGGCCUAGAAAAUGUAAUAAGCUUUGGACUUGUCCCACAAUCUCGUUAUGAAUUUGUGACAUCAUGAUGUAAGAUAAUAUUUUUGUUAAUACUUAAGGAAAUGUCGAUCGAACUAAGUUUGGAGGAUGUAAAGAGAGUUGCUUCGCAUUAUGGGUUUGAGAUUGAGGUAAUGACAUUAAUUUUGUCAAGAAUAGAACACCUCAUGUCCUUCUUCCUCCACACUCAGUGCUUGUCCUAACAUUUGCAGAAAGAAAGAACAAUUGAUACAACGUACUGUGCAAAUCCCCGGUCUAUGCAGAAGGUAAGGUUUUUCAUGUCCCUCUGGAUUUGAUUUAUCUCUAAUCUCUAAGCUCAAACUAAUUAUUGAAAAUCAAAAGGUUGAUUUAUUUGUGAUACUCUGUGUGUUGCAGAACCGCUACUAUUCUGUCUUCUGGACAAUGAGGAAGAAGUGUGCUACAUAAUAAAACUUAUCCAAACAUCCCUAAAGAACAUUCCAUUGUGGAGCAGUUGUUUUGUGUUGCACUUUGAUAUGUUUAUUACGAUCCAAUCUCAAAAGUCAAAACACGAACCAUUUCUUGUGUUGUUGUAAACUAAAUAAACUGUGUUCUCGGUUGAUGAACACUUGUACUCCGACUUUUUCGUUAUCCUUAGGCCACUCAUAAGAGUCACAAGUCACUACUCACUAGAGCACCAAGGGACAGUGUUAAGUUUUGACUUAUUUUUACUUAAAAGUUAAACGAACCCUAUGACAUCUCCCCUACACUGCACACUUGUAAGGCUUAGUACUUGUGAAUGUUUGUGUCGGGAAACACUCACCACAGUAUUAGAAAACAGAGCAUAAAACAGAGAAUUUUGAGUUCAGGUUGUAUUGUGAUGAGACCCUACAUCUUUGCUAAAUAUAAUGUCUAAAAAGCAAUCCACAGUUUAACAUUUGUCUUAAUACAAAAAAUGGGCUAAGCUAAGGCCCAUUAAGGAACAUCAUGAGGCAUAAUUAAAAAGAAACCGUUUCCUCGUAUAAGGCGAAGACGCGGCGACGAAAUUCCAAAACAAAAAGAGCCAGCCACCAUGUCGGAGCCGGAGACGGAACCGGCACCGGAAAUAGUGACAGAUAUGGCCACGGAAACGGAGACGCCGAGGGAAGUGCCUGAUGAAGAGGAGGAGAAAAUACGCCGUCUGAAGAAGCUUGAAGAAGCUCUCGAAGCCAAAUCUCUUCGUCGCAUUAUCAGUGCUUAUCUCAAGUAUAUAGAUUUUUUUUUUUUUACCUCAGCCUUAUUCGGAUUUUAUACCGUUUCAUACGUAUUACCUGAAAUGUCAAUAUAUUUGAGGAGAAUUGUCUGAUUGAUUGGAAUUUCAAAUCACAAUUUCGGAUUGGUACUGUGUUCUUCUUUUUAGGGUUUAGUAGUGGUGCUAAGUUAUGGGAACUUGUUUUUGGCUGGAUGUUCAUGCUUAUGACUCGAGAAUACUUUGAUUUCUAGGAAUACUUUGAUUUUUUGUUUUUUUUUUUUUGUUUUUUUAUAGUGUAAGCUUCGCAUUCAAGGUCAUUACUUUUGGUUUUCUUACAUUGUUUGUAUUUGUAAUCCGAGAUUUUCUGAUCAAAUUUUGCAUUUUUCAUGGUUCAUUUGAAGCCUCCUGUAGAAGUGUUUCGUAGGGCUGUCUAGUAAUUUAUGUUUAAAGGUUCUGCAUCAUUGACCUUUCCUUGUCUUUUGGAAAUGUUUACAGUUAUCCCGAGGCUUCAGAAGAGGAUUUGAAAAGAUGGGAAAGAUCAUAUCGGAAGCUGUCUCCUGCACACAAGGUAGUUUCUGUUUCCUGGUUUCUAGCCUUGAGAUAUCUGAUAUGAUUAGUAGAGAGAAUAGUAGCAUGUUCUACUAAAAAUGGCUGUAAAUGUUUUUUCCCAUAGUUGCGUCUAGAGAAAAAUGAAAGUUCUUGUUUCUGUUGUGUUUGUUAUUUGUUAUCUGUUGUGUUACCAGUUGAUAUUAUGUUAAUGAUUUAUUUCUAUAGCAUGAUUUAGAAUUUGAAAUGCUUAACGAAGCAUAGCGGUUAAGAGAUCACCAAAUGAUUUAAAGUCAAAGUUGAUAUUUUUGUCGAAUAUUCUUUGUGUGCUUAUGAUUAUAAUAGAACUAACGAAUUUCAGUGAUGCCUUUUUCCUUUUCCAGGCAUUGGUACCCCAUUUCCCUAUGAAGUUUCAGAGAUUAAGAAGGUGAAAUCUAGAACCAGUACAUGUUUCAGUAUAAUCUUGUGUCACAGGCUCACUUGGAUGAUAUUACAGAAUUUUUUUUUUUUCUUUUUCUGUUAUAGUUGCUUCAAAAUUUUGCAUAUGAUUAGUUGCUUCUUUGUUAUUACUUUGGAUUAUGGAAGAUUACUGAUGCUGCUAAACGUUUGAAUUAACUUUUGAAGUUAAAUAUAAUAUCUUGUCACAAUAAUGAAUUGAGGUUAGGGACAGUCUAAACUUGUAACAAGAAAGUGUUUGGUGUUCGCAUUAUUGCAUUUUCCUACUAAAUAUCUGACCUCUCAGAGAUGAUUUGAGUAAAGUAACAUUUCAUAUUUGUCAACUCUGUCUUAUGUAUAUUUCCUACUUUCUGAUAGUUGGACUAGUUAAGUAUUAUUUUCCUAAAUCUUGUUAGAUUGAUUUCUUGUUCAAGUGUUAUUUUUAUGAUAUACUUUUUUCUCAUGCUUGCACACUAAACUCACUACUACGUCCGAUUUAGUGUGAAUUAUUUGUAUCCUGUCUGUGUUUGUUCCAUAUAUCAUAAGCGUAAUGUUGUUUGAAAUGUUAGUAAGUUGUUGAACUUUGUUGUUGCAGGUGUAUAUCGGCGAAUUCAUUUUUCAUAUUUAAUAUGCUUCAGGUCAGUUGCAGACUUUCUUCUUCUAAUUUCCUUGGUGUUUCAAUUACUUAAUGCUACUCUUUUGGUUAUAUGAUUUGUAAUCUUUAAUUGGAAAUGCGCUAGAAUAUCUACAAUUUAUUACACAUGUAAUAAUGUAAUUCAUAAUUACUUGGCAGGCUUUUGAUCCCCCUAUAGACUUGAGUCAGGAACUUGAUGGUUAUGAAGGCUCAAAUUCUGAAUGUGCUCCACAUGAGAAAUACACUCUAGAUGAAAGGCACGACUCUUCUUGUCAGCCGGCCUUGACCAAUAGUUGUACAUAUCAGGAAGAAAGCAAACACAUUCAUGUACCAAAAGCAGGAGUGUCUGUCGAGGUCAGAUCAAGUCAGUGGAACUAUAUAUUUUUCAUUUAGAAUCUUUAAUUUAUUUGUAGAUAUGCAGGAGCUUCAAAGGAAGGAAGCUCAUGAUCAUUCUCCCAAGGAUCAGUCUGAAAAUGAUGGAGGCCAGUUGAAUCAUGACCAUGGCAGUGUAAUGCGAACACAUACUUAUACCUCUGUUCCUUUCAGAAAACGUGUUGACGAUUCAGACAGCGUUCUACUGUCAAGCAUAGGCUUUGUUGUGUUAUUUUUGGAUCAUAGUUUAUGUCUAUAAAGUUGUCAUAAUUCAUCCCUUUUUGUUUUUUCUAUCUAAUUCUUAUGUUCUUCUAUUCUUUCUUAGGAAUUAUGUGCAUACCAUGAUUGGUUGGAUUCAUCAAUACAGACACAUGUUCCUCUAGUUGAUGUAGAUAAGGUAUGGUUCUCACAUUUACUAUAGCUGAUGAUAUUUAUUUUUCUCAUUCCUAGAUAGUUCAUAAUUAUAUAAGUGCUCUGAUAGUGUGAGACAAUUCGUAAGGCAUGCUGUUAAAAAUCUAUUCUCAAUCUCUAUUAGUCUAUUAGGCAGUACAAUUGAAUAUGCUUGUUGUGGUAUUUCUCGCCAAUAUACACUUUAUUUUCAUGAUUUUGUUGUAUUCUAACACAGGUUCGUUGUAUAAUAAGGAAUAUAGUCCGAGACUGGGCAGCAGAGGUGACCAUACUUUUGUUUGUCAUUUUUAUCUGACAAUGACGUACUCAGAUUCAAUCUUUAAUUUUAUAUUAAGUUUUGUGGUAUAUACUUUUUACUUACAGGGUCAGAGAGAACGAGAUGAAUGUUACAAGCCUAUCCUUGAAGAGCUUGAUUUGUUGUUUCCUGAUCGUCAGAAGGAGAGGUACACCAUGUUACAGCUAAUUGUUCCUGAGUUUCGGGUCUCUGACCUCUUAUCAAUGCAUUCUGAGUUUGUGGAAAAAAGUAUUUUUUUGUCUUUUUUCAACAUCCAACUCUGGUGGUCUGUUGUUGAUCCACGAAGUUCCAUUAUAGAGACUUGACUAACGAGAGACAGGCCAAUUGAUUAAUUUGAUUAAGCACUUUUAGUACCUGCCACGUUCACUCUGCUUACAAAGUUAAUUGUAUGAUUUGCAGCACCCCUCCUGCCUGUUUAGUCCCUGGUGCUGGACUUGGUCGUCUGGCCCUUGAAAUUUCUUGUCUAGGUAGGCAAUGCAGAAGUAAUUUUUUUUGGUAGGUAAUGAUGAUAGGAAUAUAACAAUUCUGUACACUGGGACAGGUUUCAUAAGCCAAGGAAAUGAAUUUUCAUACUACAUGAUGAUAUGCUCAAGUUUUAUUCUGAAUUAGUAAGAGUUUCUUACUCUUUUAAAAUCAACAUUAUCUUUUUAUAUUCCUUAUAUUUGACUUGUCUGUUUCAAAUAGCGUCUCUUUGCCCCUUUUCUACAUUGAGAUUUAUGGUCAUCCAUGUUGUUUAAGAAGAUAGAAAUCAGAUUAUCCCCUAUUCAGUAAUUCAAAUCUUUUUAUUUUUCAUAUCAGCCAACCUUUAAAUUUUCAAACUGUUUAUCUAAAUUGCUCUUGAAGAGUCUACAAUUUAGUUUCUUCUGUAAUGUGUUUCUAAAUUUAGUUAAGAUAGCUUCCUUCUUUUGGUCCAGGUAAGAGUUUUGCUCAGCUUGUUUUCUUUUCUUUUUUCUAUCAGUACGCAAGUCCCUGGUGAGUGGACAAUAUACCCCUGGAUUCACAGCAACUGCAAUUCGCUCUCGGACAAUGAUCAACUACGUCCUAUUGCUAUUCCUGAUAUUCAUCCUGCAAGGUAGGCUUUAUCGAACCGCUGAGAACUGGUCUAUGGUUUUGGGAAUGUGUUGGUAGUUUUAGGUGUAAAGACUUAUCUGGUUUCCUUGUAAAUUACAAUGGAACUCAAUCCAAAGGGAUUAAGCAACUUUUAUUGGUGAUUUCAUGUAGCUAUAUUCAUUUGUGUCACUUUACAAAAAAGGUUUAUGUAAAACUUUUGUGAGCAGUGCUGGAAUAACGGAAGGUUUCUCUAUGUGUGGUGGUGAUUUUGUUGAAGUAUACAAUGAAUCAACUCAUGCAGGUAAGAACGGUGGCUACUUGCUUGUGGUUUUAAGCCAAUACACCCAUUUAAUUGUCACCGUUGAUACUGAAUUUCAGGAAUGUGGGAUGCAGUUGUUACUUGCUUUUUUAUCGACACGGCUCAUAACAUCAUCGAGUACAUUGAAACCAUAUCCAAGAUCUUAAAAGACGGAGGCGUAAUUUCCCUGUCACACUCUUUCUUUUCACCAUUGAUCUUUUCUUUUUUGCUCCUGACAUAUCUACAAUAAUUUUCCCUCAGGUUUGGAUAAAUUUAGGACCACUGUUGUAUCAUUUUGCAGACACAUAUGGCCACGAAAAUGUAAGCAUUGGACUUGUCUCACGAUUCUUGCCAUAACUGUGAUAUCACAAUAUAUUUAUUGUUUCUCCUUAGGAAAUGUCAAUCGAGCUAAGUUUGGAGGAUGUAAAGAGGGUUGCUUCACAUUAUGGAUUCGUGAUUGAGGUAAUCUACACUAUGAAAAUGACAUGUACCAAUAAUAAAGCAUUUCAUGUUCUUCCACACUCAGUGUCUGUCCCAACAUUUGCAGAAAGAAAGAACAAUCGAAACAACUUACACUACAAAUCCCCGAGCUAUGAUGCAGGUCAGAUUUCUCAUGUCCCUUUGGAUUUGAUUAUUUAAACUCAGAUUCCAUCAUCUGUUUCAAUAUUUGGGUGGUUAAUUUGGGAUCGAAAGGUGGAUUAGUCUGUGAUGUUGUGUUUCUAUCUGUGCUGCAGAACCGAUACUAUACUGCCUUCUGGACAAUGAGGAAGAAAUGUGCAAUAUUAGCAACAACUUAACCCAAUUUAUUCUGGACAUUUUUUUCCAUCUUGAUUUCUUUUGUUUUACUUUGAUGAAUUAAUGGUACAAUCUAAACUAAUAGACUUAUGUUAUCGAUUGAUGAAUAAAAAACCUUUGUACUCAACUUCGAGUUAUCCAUUUGCCAGCCUUUAGACUUCACUUAUAUGAUCUUUGUCUUCAACAUAAUUUGGAGGUUCAGAUAUUGCAAUGGCAGGGACUAGCUUAACAAAACAGAAUAAUUAAAGGCAUUCACUUCUGAGUUCUGAGGCUUAGUAUAUACGAAUGUCUGUUUCAAAAACGCUCACCAAUGUUUCUCUCAAAUUUUCAUCUCGUGUAUUAGAAAACAAAAUAAAUUUUGGUAUAGACUAGGUGAUUACAUUACAUAAUAAGGGUAGGAACCUGAAUAUUGUUAUAUAUAAUCAUAAACAUUACAACAUAUGAUAUACCCUCUCUCUUUAAAAAAUAACCGGUCUCUUUCUUAAACCGGCCUUUAGUCAUCUGAAAAAAAUCGGUUUAAAUUAGGUUAUUUCGUUUUCUUAUUCACCUGAAAAAUCGGCGACUUUCUUAAACCUAACUCUUUCUCAAUGCCCUAGUAUAAAUAGGAACCUGAAUUACGAUACAAGAUCAUAACGCAUACCCUCUCUUUUUGGUUUUCGUUCCUUGCGUACAAAGCCAACAUUUUACUCUAUUCCUUUCAGGUUUUAUUCUGUUUGUGUUCUAUUUUCUUCAAGAGAUUCGAUCACAAUGGGAAAACAUGAAGAUCAUAUUGCUUCAGUGAUGAGAAAUAUACCGGAGGAGAUGAUGAGAGAAGUUGUCGGAGAGAGGGUAAAGACCAUGAACGUGAACCAUACGGAAUCACAAGCUGUUGAACCUGCGGCUUACCUUUACUCAUGGCUGAGUAAAUUCUGGGAGGUUCAAGCUGAGAUGGCAGUGGCCAACAAAGAAAAUGAAGAGGCGAGGAUUUUAGGGGAUGGGGUACCAAAGAAGACGAGAAGUCUAGGUGACCGAUCAUCUUCUUGUAGCACAGUGACAACGCCAUGGAUGCGUGAGAUCGAAAACCAAAGAUCAACUACUUCCAUGAAACCAGUACUACCAAACCCUAAUCUGCCUUCUUGCGUUAGAAGUCGGUCCAAGGAUAAACGUCCGGUUGACGUGGAGGAGACAAGUCGCAGGAAACUUAGAGUUUUUCGUAGUUUAGAGGUGGAACCCGUACUACAAAACCCUAAUAUGGAUUCAGAGUCUUCUCGCUUUAGGGGUCGGUGCAAUGGAAAACGUCCCAUUGACGUGGAAGAGAGAAGUCUUGGUGACGGAUCGUCUUCUUCUAUUAGGAUGAGAAGAAGACCAUGGAUGCGUGUGACCGAACAACAAAAUCCAACUACUUCCGUGGAACCAGUAGUACGAAACCCUAAUCAGGAUUCAGAGUCUUCUCGCGUUAGAGGUCGGUCCAAGAAUAAACGUCCCAUUUACGUGGAAAAGAGAAGCCGCAAGAAACGUAAAGUAGUUCGUGCUUUAGAGGUUGAACCGAUUCAAAUGACUCCACCGGAGUGGCUUUUCAACGUGAUGAGGAGAGAAGAGAACGGCUACGAUCCCAAGCUCAUCUCAACUAGGAAACUGUUUCAGACUGAUAUCAACAAAGAUCAAGCACGCCUCUCAGUCCCUUUUAGACAAGUGAAAACUCCAGACUUUUUGACAGAGCAGGAGACAAUAUUCAUACAUGAAUAUGCGAUGAAGACUCGUGUAGAAGGUGUGAGUGUGGAUUUGGUGGAUCCUAACAUGAAGAAGCAUGCCCUUGACUUGAGGAAGUGGAAGAUGAAUGGAAACUGGAUUUAUACCUUCUGUAAAGGUUGGAACAAUGUACUUGAUGCUAAUAGGUCCUUUAAGGUAGAUGACGUCUAUCCUCUCUGGUCCUUCCGAUCUGGAAAAGGAAAACUCUGUUUUGCUCUCGUCCCUUCUCAGGCGACAAGUUCCAGCCACGUCGGCUGCUCCACUUCAAGAGAAUCUGGCCGUGGAAACACUCUUACCGGCGGUGAUGGCGCUUCAACCUCUGGUGAAUCUGGUCAUGUACCAUUACUGGUUAAUCCUCCUUCGCAUCCGGCAAAAGAUUCUACCCACUCCAUCCAAGGCUGUUCAGGAGGGAGCAGCUCGAAUUCUUCCUAAUCAUAUUGUGCUUAUUGCUUGAGCCACAAGUUAAAAAGGGUUUUUGGUUUUCAAGCAAUUCUGGAUAUUAGCCUUUUUUUUUUUUUGGUUUUCUUUCCUUCCUUUUUUCUUAAGUAGAUUGACAUAGGAAGGUUUUGUUUCACAAGGUUUUAGAACAAGCUUACGAAAGUUAGUUUGGUAUUAUUAUUUUUCUAUUGCCUAAAUAUGACAUUUUCAAUGGUUGUUUGAAUAUGGCAUCCAAUCACAAAUUGAUAAUGGUUGUUUAAAUAUGGCA
RNAcentral lists this long non-coding RNA (24175 nucleotides) under Capsella rubella. RNAcentral's name for it is "long non-coding RNA (CRUB_LNC003276)". The stretch from base 3798 to 3871 matches the Rfam family "tRNA". Lineage: Eukaryota; Viridiplantae; Streptophyta; Magnoliopsida; Brassicales; Brassicaceae. The record is from RNAcentral.